UCCAUUUCAAAUGAUUAUCUGAAAUCUUGCAACUCUGUUUUGAACUGAAUAGUUUUGGACUUUGAUUUUAAACAAAUUAUUUGAUUCAAAAGAAAUUUGUUCAAUUGCACAUUUCGUUUAAAACAAAGUAAAUUUUCUUUCAACCAAAUAAAAUUGUUUUCAACAGAAAGGAAUAAUUUCUUUAAAUUAAAAUUUUAAACUUAGCAGAAAUUUUGGAUUGAGCAAGAACCGAAUUUCGAAUAAAGUUGUCCGGUUGUGUUGAAAAUCAAAACUAGUGAAUCAGAGAUAGCUAUUUAGGAGGAUUCAGGAUGAAGAAUGGACCACGGCUGAUUCCGCCCCAAAUCCAGCGGUCUGAUUAUCUUCGGUCCGAUCUUCAGUGACAAUCACCAGUUGGAUGACCUCUAAAGCUAGAGCUGCUUCCGGAACUCUAUUAAGCGGCCCAAAAAGAAUGCCCUCAGGCCAAAAUUAGGACCGGAUGAUUCAAUUAUAGUGAACCAGUGUUAGUGUUAAUUUUGUGAAUAAAAAAUAAUUUAAAAUGUAAA
Uranotaenia lowii is the source of this 542-nucleotide long non-coding RNA. RefSeq lists it as uncharacterized. NCBI's taxonomy places the organism in Eukaryota, Metazoa, Arthropoda, Insecta, Diptera, Culicidae. The transcript has 2 exons. The record is from RefSeq and is a predicted model, not a curated record.